Molecule: small nuclear RNA, 107 nt
Organism: Stegostoma tigrinum
Lineage: Eukaryota; Metazoa; Chordata; Chondrichthyes; Orectolobiformes; Stegostomatidae
Source: RefSeq, a predicted model, not a curated record
GUGCUUGCUUUGGCAACAUAUAUACUAAAAUUGGAAUGAUACAGAGAAGAUUAGCAUGGCCCCUGCAGAAGGAUGACAUACAAAUUCAUGAAGUGUUCCAUGUUUUU